CAUUAAACUGAAUAGGAAAUAAGUACUGUGAGUAAUGUGGCAGUCCAGUAGGAGGUAGCAGGUGUUGCAGCUCCGUUGCACAGGUGUGUGUUGCAGCAUUCAUUGGUGAAGGUGAAGUUGAGUCCCAUGGUGUAUUUUUCACCCGUGACUCCACACAGGGAGGAAAGGACGCAGCUCUUCUCAUAUAACACCACGCGGAAGUCUCCUGAAAAUCAAGAGUUCAUUAGAAACAUAACUCUGGGAGAGACUCAAACUCUGCUGGACAGACAGACCUGCCCAGGUGGACACAUGAGAGGAAAUUUGAUGCAGUCCAGAGCUGGAAGUAAACCAAGGACAAUCAGAGGGCAGACCAGCUUCGACAUUACUGACUCUUUCUGUCUCACAAGGAGAAAAUAUUCUUGCAGCUUGACUGUUCAGCUCUUCACUUAGUCUCUUUCUUGUUAUUUUCUAGAACAAAACUGCCAUUUUCAUCUAAAAAAAACAAAAGUCUCCCUCUUUGUGACUCAAGUCAGUUUCCGAUUACCUUUAUCCAGGCUUCCUCAGCCAGCCCAGCUGCAGAGAUCUGAAGACCGAUUGUCUCACUGAUUUUCUUCACCAGGCCAUCAUUGACUGUAUGGUGAACAGCUUUCUGCCUGGAGAUGGCACUGGUUAGCAUCUGUCUGAUGUUUUCCCUCAGUAGCUGUGACUGGUUGACUGUCAAACUGGACGACUCUAAAAUCUGUUUACAUUCUGCAAGAAGACAAAUCAGUGAUGUUAAACAUUGUGUCAUUUAAACAGGAUAUACUGCACUGUUUUUUCAAACAUCAAGAGGUCACAAGAUCAGUUUAACAAGUGGAGAUCAUCCUAAAAUAACCUUUACUGCAUUUUCUGUUACCAUAUACAAUACUACACCCAUUUUACCUCUGAGCACACUGUGGGUCACCAGGAAGGUCAGCAGUACCAGAUAGGAUCUUUUUCUGAGUGUAAGCAGGUACGUUAGAGUAAAUUAAACUGUUACAGUAAUGCUCACAUACAGUAUUUGCACUCUGUACUUUGCCUAUUGUAAUACAUAUUAAUGGACAACUACUUAUGCACAUACCAAAAUUACAUUUUCAGUGAGCAAUUAAGUGAAAGCCUCCAGUCUUGCACAGUUUUUAGCCAUGCCCGGAGUGUGCCUCCUAGGAAUGUCAAUGUACUUUGUGUUUAGUGCUAAUUCGCAAAUGUUAGAAUGCAAAAACAUGGUAAAGAUGGUGAACAUUAUACCUACUAAACACUAUCAUGUUACUUUUUCAAGUUCCAUUAUUCGUAUACAUUUUUCGUAAUUUAUUUAAUUUUUUGUUUGUGUGUUAUUUGUUCAUACACACAGCAUCAACAUUGGAUGUGUGUAAAAUGACGCCCCAUUUGGGUUUUGUGUAAUUUGUCUUUUCUCCAAGUGAGCUGCUACAGCGGCAUGACUGCCUGCGGGAACUGAUACAGUUUUACUUUGUGUCCUGAGUGUACCUGGUGUAAAGGGGCUGACGGGAUCUGCUUUGGUGAAGGUCUGAGCAGCGCAGCGGUGUCCUCCAGCAGAGCUGCUAUGAGGCAGCAGCUCCAGGACACGAGCCCUCUCACUGGCGCAGUCCAACAGGUGUUUGCUGCUCUGACCCAGGGCCUGGAAGAGACAGAGCAGUGGACGGCCUCCUAGUCCUCCCCUCUGAGCUCCUCCUGUUGACGGUCAGAUCAGUCCUGAGGCUGCGCAGCAUCCUCUCAAGGUGACCCCUCUCCCUCUCCAGCUUGAUGCCCUCCUGGGUCACCCUGCCGGCUUGCCUGCGCAGCUGGCCCUCCACCUCCCGCACCCUUCGCAUGUACUCACCGGCCACGGCAAUGCUGGCCCCAGCACACCGCUCACGCAAGCUGAUGGAGUCACGAUUCUCUCCGCAUUCCUCCUCUGUGAUCUUAUCUUCGGUUGUUUCCGCUGUGCAGUCUGUGCGCUUUGGUGUAAAACUGGCGGCGGCGCUGCAGCUAGGGGGCCGGCUGGAAGUCCCGGACAGCCCGGCCCGAGUCUGCCGCACCAGGCGCUCAGCCCGCCGGAUGGAGCGGACCGUCCCAUCGUGCCAAGACUGCGGACCGAUGGUGACAGAGCCGAGGGGCACCGACUGGACCUGCAUUAGGCUACUUUCACAUGCACUUCCCCCCCUAAUUUCUUUUUUUUUUGCUAUCAGCUGUUUUUACCUCACUGAAUAUGAUGAACCCCAAAGCUAUUUUGUGUCCACUGUGAAGCAAACAGUGGUUAACUUUGUGUUAAGUGUUAUCAACCCCUUAGCAACAGUUCCUUAAGUAACUACAAACUCAAAGCUAUUUGAUGAUUGGACAGUGAGGAGGUGAGGGACACUGUCAUUCAACACUGGCUUUUACAGAGUUGAGACGCCUCAGGUUCCCGGAAGUUAAUUCCCACAAAUUUAUAUUCUCAGCUGAAUCACAUGCUAGAGUGUUAACAACUGCGUUAAAAUACAUUUUACAAGCAUAUGAAUGUUAACACUUCAAGAUAAGUUAACUACUACUCCCAAGGUGCAUUUCGGCAAAUAAAUUAAAAAUUAAAAACCAUCCAAUCACAAAGCUUAAAAUGACACGCAACCGCAGCAGUCUCUGUGGGUAACAAUGAAACAUAAAUUUAUUUCUAUGUGACUAUUACUGGACGAAUUCGGCAACUGUGGCACUGUUUUUGUUCACUAACUCUGCUGCGAAGCGUUUUCAAAUCACCAUCGCUCUGAUUCGUGCCUCGGCCUGACAUUGCAACGGCGGCAGAGGCUCAUGGGUAUUGUAGUCGUUAGAUCCGUACGCCAUGCAAAAAAAAUGGACAAAACAUCAACUCUGAAACGAAGUUAAAAUAAAUUAGAAGUGGUGGUCAUAAAACAAAUCUGUAUGAUACAUUAUUAUUACUAUUAAUCUAUUGAUCGACUCCAGACUGUCCAGAACUCAGCUGCCAGGCUUUUAACCAGAACAAAGAAAUAUGACCACAUUACUCCU
Micropterus dolomieu (smallmouth bass) is the source of this 2985-nucleotide long non-coding RNA. RefSeq lists it as uncharacterized. The transcript is spliced from 6 exons. NCBI's taxonomy places the organism in Eukaryota, Metazoa, Chordata, Actinopteri, Centrarchiformes, Centrarchidae. The record is from RefSeq and is a predicted model, not a curated record.